Molecule: transfer RNA, 72 nt
Filed under: Heterocephalus glaber (naked mole-rat)
Lineage: Eukaryota; Metazoa; Chordata; Mammalia; Rodentia; Bathyergidae
Rfam family: tRNA
About the family: Transfer RNA (tRNA) molecules are approximately 80 nucleotides in length. Their secondary structure includes four short double-helical elements and three loops (D, anti-codon, and T loops). Further hydrogen bonds mediate the characteristic L-shaped molecular structure. tRNAs have two regions of fundamental functional importance: the anti-codon, which is responsible for specific mRNA codon recognition, and the 3' end, to which the tRNAs corresponding amino acid is attached (by aminoacyl-tRNA synthetases). tRNAs cope with the degeneracy of the genetic code in two manners: having more than one tRNA (with a specific anti-codon) for a particular amino acid; and 'wobble' base-pairing, i.e. permitting non-standard base-pairing at the 3rd anti-codon position.
Source: Rfam by way of RNAcentral
GGGGGUGUAGCUCAGUGGUAGAGGGCUUGCCUAGCAUGUGUGAGGUCCUGGGUUCCAUCGCCAGCACCACCA